UACGAAGGGGGCUAGCGUUGUUCGGAAUUACUGGGCGUAAAGCGCACGUAGGCGGACUAUUAAGUCAGGGGUGAAAUCCCGGGGCUCAACCCCGGAACUGCCUUUGAUACUGGUAGUCUCGAGUCCGGAAGAGGUGAGUGGAAUUCCGAGUGUAGAGGUGAAAUUCGUAGAUAUCAGGAGGAACACCGGUGGCGAAAGCGGCUUCCUGGCCCGACAUUGACGUUCAUGUACGAGAGCGUGGGGAGCAAACAGG
This 253-nucleotide ribosomal RNA is filed under the name uncultured bacterium. RNAcentral describes it as "partial 16S ribosomal RNA". It matches the Rfam family "Bacterial small subunit ribosomal RNA", at positions 524 to 776 of the family's 1533-position model. The record is from RNAcentral.